UAAUGAUUUGGUCUCUAAGC
This 20-nucleotide non-coding RNA is filed under the name Rattus norvegicus (Norway rat). The record is from RNAcentral. Lineage: Eukaryota; Metazoa; Chordata; Mammalia; Rodentia; Muridae.